Nothoprocta perdicaria is the source of this 306-nucleotide long non-coding RNA. RefSeq lists it as uncharacterized. NCBI's taxonomy places the organism in Eukaryota, Metazoa, Chordata, Aves, Tinamiformes, Tinamidae. The transcript has 2 exons. The record is from RefSeq and is a predicted model, not a curated record.
GAUGUACAGCAGCUAAAGAAGCGACUGUAAAACAUACUCUGCUUUCUGCAUAAAUAAAAAAGAGCUGUUUUCUCCCAUCAAAAAUUACAUUUCAUCUGACUACUCACAGAGAAAGCCUCUGACAGCUGUACCUGUGGAACAUCUUGAAGAGGUUUCAGUUUCAAACGUCAAAAAACAGGAAAUAAACAGUGCCCAGAAGAAAGGAUGAUUUCUCACAACAUGACGUGGAUCAGCUACCCAAGCAAGAACUUUGCUUUCAUCUCCCCAGAAGAAAUUGAAGCAUUCAUAGCAUCUCAAAACAUCAUA